This 1141-nucleotide ribosomal RNA is filed under the name Bacillus sp. 3-10(2012). RNAcentral describes it as "bacterial SSU rRNA". The stretch from base 631 to 1141 matches the Rfam family "Bacterial small subunit ribosomal RNA", at positions 1 to 504 of the family's 1533-position model. Lineage: Bacteria; Bacillati; Bacillota; Bacilli; Caryophanales; Bacillaceae. The record is from RNAcentral.
GGCCAAUGGCGCCCUCUAAUACAUGCAAGUCGAGCGGACAGAUGGGAGCUUGCUCCCUGAUGUUAGCGGCGGACGGGUGAGUAACACGUGGGUAACCUGCCUGUAAGACUGGGAUAACUCCGGGAAACCGGGGCUAAUACCGGAUGGUUGUUUGAACCGCAUGGUUCAAACAUAAAAGGUGGCUUCGGCUACCACUUACAGAUGGACCCGCGGCGCAUUAGCUAGUUGGUGAGGUAAUGGCUCACCAAGGCAACGAUGCGUAGCCGACCUGAGAGGGUGAUCGGCCACACUGGGACUGAGACACGGCCCAGACUCCUACGGGAGGCAGCAGUAGGGAAUCUUCCGCAAUGGACGAAAGUCUGACGGAGCAACGCCGCGUGAGUGAUGAAGGUUUUCGGAUCGUAAAGCUCUGUUGUUAGGGAAGAACAAGUACCGUUCGAAUAGGGCGGUACCUUGACGGUACCUAACCAGAAAGCCACGGCUAACUACGUGCCAGCAGCGGGCGGUAAUUUAUUACUUAUUAUCCGCCCGGCUGCUGGGCUCGAUGCAUCAUGUGGUGAUUAAAGAACAAUCAUAUUAGAGCUGCAAUGAAAAUACGCUUCAGUCGAGUAAUUUCACCCCCCCGCCGGCUGCCGUAAGAGUUUGCCUAUGUCUCAGGACGAACGCGGGCGGCGUGCCUUAUACAUGCAAGUCGAGCGGACAGAUGGGAGCUUGCUCCUUGAUGUUAGCGGCGGAGGGGUGAGUAACACGUGGGUAACCCGCCUGUAAGACUGGGAUAACUCCGGGAAACCGGGGCUAAUACCGGAUGGUUGUUUGAACCGCAUGGUUCAAACAUAAAAGGUGGCUUCGGCUACCACUUACAGAUGGACCCGCGGCGCCUUAGCUAGUUGGUGAGGUAAUGGCUCACCAAGGCAACGAUGCGUAGCCGACCUGAGAGGGUGAUCGGCCACACUGGGACUGAGACACGGCCCAGACUCCUACGGGAGGCAGCAGUAGGGAAUCUUCCGCAAUGGACGAAAGUCUGACGGAGCAACGCCGCGUGAGUGAUGAAGGUUUUCGGAUCGUAAAGCUCUGUUGUUAGGGAAGAACAAGUACCGUUCGAAUAGGGCGGUACCUGACGUACCAACCAGAAGUAAAACUC